Molecule: small nuclear RNA, 180 nt
Filed under: Suricata suricatta (meerkat)
Lineage: Eukaryota; Metazoa; Chordata; Mammalia; Carnivora; Herpestidae
Description: U2 spliceosomal RNA (ENSSSUG00005022335.1)
Rfam family: U2 spliceosomal RNA
About the family: U2 is a small nuclear RNA (snRNA) component of the spliceosome (involved in pre-mRNA splicing). Complementary binding between U2 snRNA (in an area lying towards the 5' end but 3' to hairpin I) and the branchpoint sequence (BPS) of the intron results the bulging out of an unpaired adenosine, on the BPS, which initiates a nucleophilic attack at the intronic 5' splice site, thus starting the first of two transesterification reactions that mediate splicing.
Source: Rfam by way of RNAcentral
AUCGUUUCUCCAUCCAUGGGCUAAGAUUACGUGUACUAUAUGUUCUUAUUGGCUUUAUAUCUAAUGUUUUCUGUCCGAAAACAACAUAUUAAGGUAGUUGAAUGACCCGGGAGCCAGGCUUGCUCUGUGUACCGCACAACCACCUGGUAUUAAAGUACACCAAGAACGGUGGUGCAACGA